GACGAACGCUGGCGGCGUGCUUAACACAUGCAAGUCGAACGGAAAGGCCCUGCUUUUGUGGGGUGCUCGAGUGGCGAACGGGUGAGUAACACGUGAGUAACCUGCCCUUGACUUUGGGAUAACUUCAGGAAACUGGGGCUAAUACCGGAUAGGAGCUCCUGCUGCAUGGUGGGGGUUGGAAAGUUUCGGCGGUUGGGGAUGGACUCGCGGCUUAUCAGCUUGUUGGUGGGGUAGUGGCUUACCAAGGCUUUGACGGGUAGCCGGCCUGAGAGGGUGACCGGCCACAUUGGGACCGAGAUACGGCCCAGACUCCUACGGGAGGCAGCAGUGGGGAAUAUUGCACAAUUGGCGGAAGCCUGAUGCAGCAACGCCGCGUGCGGGAUGACGGCCUUCGGGUUGUAAACCGCUUUCGCCUGUGACGAAGCGUGAGUGACGGUAAUGGGUAAAGAAGCACCGGCUAACUACGUG
RNAcentral lists this ribosomal RNA (468 nucleotides) under uncultured bacterium. RNAcentral's name for it is "partial 16S ribosomal RNA". It matches the Rfam family "Bacterial small subunit ribosomal RNA", at positions 28 to 507 of the family's 1533-position model. The record is from RNAcentral.